AGGCAAUGAUGAUUUAAAAUUAUACCAUCAAACUAUGAAAGCUUAGUCAUAAGCUUAUUGAUUCUCAAUCAUUAAUUUCUGAGCCU
Molecule: small nucleolar RNA, 86 nt
Organism: Lycium barbarum (goji berry)
Lineage: Eukaryota; Viridiplantae; Streptophyta; Magnoliopsida; Solanales; Solanaceae
Product: small nucleolar RNA snoR116
Exons: 1
Source: RefSeq, a predicted model, not a curated record